RNAcentral lists this ribosomal RNA (481 nucleotides) under Serratia marcescens. RNAcentral's name for it is "bacterial SSU rRNA". It matches the Rfam family "Bacterial small subunit ribosomal RNA", at positions 36 to 506 of the family's 1533-position model. Lineage: Bacteria; Pseudomonadati; Pseudomonadota; Gammaproteobacteria; Enterobacterales; Yersiniaceae. The record is from RNAcentral.
UCCCCCCUGGGCCCUUAACAUGCAAUUCGGCGGUGCACAGGGGAACCUUGCUCCCUGGGUGACGAGCGGCGGACGGGUUAUUAAUGUCUGGGAAACUGCCUGAUGGAGGGGGAUAACUACUGGAAACGGUAGCUAAUACCGCAUAACGUCGCAAGACCAAAGAGGGGGACCUUCGGGCCUCUUGCCAUCAGAUGUGCCCAGAUGGGAUUAGCUAGUAGGUGGGGUAAUGGCUCACCUAGGCGACGAUCCCUAGCUGGUCUGAGAGGAUGACCAGCCACACUGGAACUGAGACACGGUCCAGACUCCUACGGGAGGCAGCAGUGGGGAAUAUUGCACAAUGGGCGCAAGCCUGAUGCAGCCAUGCCGCGUGUGUGAAGAAGGCCUUCGGGUUGUAAAGCACUUUCAGCGAGGAGGAAAGGUGGUGAGCUUAAUACGCUCAUCAAUUGACGUUACUCGCAAAAAAAGCACCGGCUAACUCCCG